Molecule: ribosomal RNA, 769 nt
Filed under: uncultured bacterium
Lineage: Bacteria
Description: bacterial SSU rRNA
Rfam family: Bacterial small subunit ribosomal RNA
Source: RNAcentral
CUGACGCUGAGGAGCGAAAGCAUGGGGAGCAAACAGGCUUAGAUACCCUGGUAGUCCAUGCCGUAAACGUUGGGAACUAGAUGUGGGGACCUUUCCACGGUCUCCGUGUCGUAGCUAACGCAUUAAGUUCCCCGCCUGGGGAGUACGGCCGCAAGGCUAAAACUCAAAGGAAUUGACGGGGGCCCGCACAAGCGGCGGAGCAUGCGGAUUAAUUCGAUGCAACGCGAAGACCCUUACCAAGGCUUGACAUAUACGAGAACGCACUGGAGACAGUGAACUCUUUGGACACUCGUAUACAGGUGGUGCAUGGUUGUCGUCAGCUCGUGUCGUGAGAUGUUGGGUUAAGUCCCGCAACGAGCGCAACCCUCGUCCUAUGUUGCCAGCACGUAAUGGUGGGAACUCAUGGGAUACUGCCGGGGUCAACUCGGAGGAAGGUGGGGAUGAGGUCAAAUCAUCAUGCCCCUUAUGUCUUGGGCUUCACGCAUGCUACAAUGGCCGGUACAAUGGGCUGCGAUACCGCAAGGUGGAGCGAAUCCCAAAAAGCCGGUCUCAGUUCGGAUUGAGGUCUGCAACUCGACCUCAUGAAGUCGGAGUCGCUAGUAAUCGUAGAUCAGCAACGCUACGGUGAAUACGUUCCCGGGCCUUGUACACACCGCCCGUCAAGUCAUGAAAGUCGGUAACUCCCGAAGCCGGUGGCCUAACCCUUGGGAGGGAGCCGUCGAAGGUGGGAUCGGUGAUUAGGACUAAGUCGUAACAAGGUAACCAAGGG